UACGUAGGUGGCAAGCGUUGUCCGGAUUUACUGGGUGUAAAGGGCGUGUAGCCGGGUUGACAAGUCAGAUGUGAAAUCCUGCGGCUUAACCGCAGAACUGCAUUUGAAACUGUUGAUCUUGAGUACUGGAGAGGCAGACGGAAUUCCUAGUGUAGCGGUGAAAUGCGUGGAUAUUAGGAGGAACACCAGUGGCGAAGGCGGUCUGCUGGACGAUAACUGACGUUGAGGCUCGAAAGCGUGGGGAGCAAACAGG
RNAcentral lists this ribosomal RNA (253 nucleotides) under uncultured bacterium. RNAcentral's name for it is "partial 16S ribosomal RNA". It matches the Rfam family "Bacterial small subunit ribosomal RNA", at positions 524 to 776 of the family's 1533-position model. The record is from RNAcentral.